UGGGAAUGUUUUACCUCCUUCAUAUUCAGGGAUGGUAGCAAUGACAACCACUAGCAAGAACUGAGGUUUGUUUUGUGCACGGCAGCACGGCUUGCUUUUUGGUGCUGAACAUCUGCCUCUCUUGUUUUCCAGGACACUGGAGUAUCUCAUGAGGCACUUGCUGUCUCUGGCCAGGAACUGCUCUAUCACCAACAUGCAUGCUAAGAAUUUAGCAAUUGUGUGGGCUCCAAACCUCUUAAGGUAAACUUCUUUUUCCGUUUCAACACGAUGCUUAGUUCUGCUCUCCCCCAACCCCAGGGGCACAAUUUCUAGAUGACAGUUUCUGCUCUCAUGUUUAGAUGGGUCUGUUGUCCCCCUGAUCAUCCAGGAGAAUUUUGUCAGUGGCAUCGCUGUUUGCCCACUGCGGAAGUCUCCAGAGCCCAACUUGACAGUUUUUGGCUACAGAAAUUCAGACUUGGGGAAAUGAUCUUGGGGAAAUGACUUGUAAGAUCUGCCUUUUCUUCAGCGGAGCCAGUCUGUGACCACCAGUGGAGAAGCUGCCUGCAUGGAGCUGCAGACACAGACAGCUGUUGUGGAACUCCUCAUAAGCCACGCAGAUGUUCUCUUCGGCUCCAAAUCCACACCAGCCAAGGGAGAGGGAGCAGGGCACAGUUCUCUGUCGGGGUCCAAGUCUGCGUGGGAGUCUCCUACUGUCACACAACUGCUCACCCUGCAGGAGGCACAGGCUCGGAGAAGAGGCCAGAGCAGCUCUCCUGCUGUGGCACAGAACUGCGAUGACAUUGAGGUGGAGGAAGGCCCCGCAGCGGUACUGGGAAGGUUCCACACAGUCAUCAAUUUUUCAUCUGAAAGGUAAAGAGGAAUUCCCUUUUCUGCCCCUAUCAUCAUUGGUCGGGUGGGUUUUAUCGGUUUAAUUUUUCUCCAUUAUAUCUCCGAGGACUCAACAAACAUACAGUUGCCCGAGGGGGUCAACGGAGCCACACAAGGGUUCCUUUCCUUCCUGGUUGGGCAGGCAGUCACGAGAUGCAGACAGCCACUCUGACGUCUUUCCUGGCCUGUGCUGGCUGUAUCAGAAAGCACUGGGGAUUUCCAGAUUUCCAGGCCGCGUGCCUGAAAUCAAUUGCAUUUCUCCUGUAAGCAGACCUGUUGGUCGGAGUUGCUGGCAUUAGAAAUUAAAGAUGGCAGUGAGCUGAGGCCGAGGAGUUAUUAGCGUUAAGAGUCAGA
RNAcentral lists this long non-coding RNA (1221 nucleotides) under Coturnix japonica (Japanese quail). RNAcentral's name for it is "lncRNA (ENSCJPG00005005414.1)". Lineage: Eukaryota; Metazoa; Chordata; Aves; Galliformes; Phasianidae. The record is from RNAcentral.